This 253-nucleotide ribosomal RNA is filed under the name uncultured bacterium. RNAcentral describes it as "partial 16S ribosomal RNA". It matches the Rfam family "Bacterial small subunit ribosomal RNA", at positions 524 to 776 of the family's 1533-position model. The record is from RNAcentral.
UCCGUAGGGGGCAAUCGUUACUCGGAAUUACUGGGCGUAAAGGGUGAGUAGGCGGCUGAGCAAGUCAAGGAUGAAAGCCCGAGGCUCAACUUCGGAACUGUCCUUGAAACUGCUCAGCUUGAGGGUAGUUGAGGAGAGUGGAAUUCCCGGUGGAGCGGUGAAAUGCGUAGAUAUCGGGAGGAACACCUGAGGCGAAGGCGGCUCUCUAAGCUAUUCCUGACGCUGAAUCACGAAAGCUAGGGGAUAAAACGGG